UACGUAGGGGGCAAGCGUUGUCCGGAUUUAUUGGGCGUAAAGAGCUCGUAGGCGGCUUGUCACGUCGGGUGUGAAAGCCCGGGGCUUAACCCCGGGUCUGCAUUCGAUACGGGCUAGCUAGAGUGUGGUAGGGGAGAUCGGAGUUCCUGGUGUAGCGGUGAAAUGCGCAGAUAUCAUGAGGAACACCGGUGGCGAAGGCGGAUCUCUGGGCCAUUACUGACGCUGAGGAGCGAAAGCGUGGGGAGCGAACAGG
This 253-nucleotide ribosomal RNA is filed under the name uncultured bacterium. Its description in RNAcentral is "partial 16S ribosomal RNA". It matches the Rfam family "Bacterial small subunit ribosomal RNA", at positions 524 to 776 of the family's 1533-position model. The record is from RNAcentral.